CGGGUUUCCACUGUACCGGGAGUCCUAGACGAUCCCCUGGUCGUGCGGCCCCUCCCCCGCUCCUUCCCAGACCCGCGUGGCGAUCCCGGUUUCUAGGGGAUGGAGCGAUGUUCUCUCUUACCCCGUUCCAGCUCCUCCGAGGUGGGCAGUAGGGGCUCCGUCUUCUGUCUUUUGAUACUGUAGGUCUCUGAGUCCUGGCAUUAGGUUCAUUAGCUGAAAUUCAGGGCUGUACUCUUUCUCCUUUCCUUCUGGGACUUUCAUGACAUAAAUGUUAGACCUUUUGGGAAUGUCCCACUGUUGAGUUUCACCUGCAGACAUCUUUCCUACUUGCUAAAGACAGUUCUUCUCUCCACCAGAUUUAUAAAAGCACAACAUAUAACAAGGAAAUCAAUCUUCUGUCUAUCAUAUGAAGAUAUGGAGGCUCAAAGAGUUUCAGUCACUUAACCUAACGUCACCCAGUUGGUAAGCAGCAGAAUGGACACUUUGUCUGUUUGGCGCCAAAGCCCAUGAUCCUGCAUUCCACGUGGGCCCUGGGGACGGUGCACUUCGGCAGGGCUGGGAUCAGCGGAGGUGAAUGAGCAGACCUACUUCUCCUUGCCUCAGAAGCAGGACUGGAAAAUGAACAUGGUGCUCAAUAUGCCCGUUCUUGGAGUUCUGUAGAAGAAAGAUGUUCCAAAUAAAUGCAC
Molecule: long non-coding RNA, 686 nt
Filed under: Equus caballus (horse)
Lineage: Eukaryota; Metazoa; Chordata; Mammalia; Perissodactyla; Equidae
Description: lncRNA (ENSECAG00000045541.1)
Source: RNAcentral